Molecule: non-coding RNA, 236 nt
Filed under: uncultured eukaryote
Lineage: Eukaryota
Source: RNAcentral
AGAUGGAAUGACAGGGCAUCUGCUUAUCUGUUUUCUUCAUUUUAGCCAUAUUCUUUUAUUGUGGACUAGUUUGGAUGCUUUGGGACAAUGUUACAAAAUCCACCAAAAAAAAAAGAUAGUGGCUUAUAGAAAUGAAAUUCUUCGAAGAAAAGGUUUAAACAAAAAAAAAUAAUUGCAAUCAAUUUUACUAUUUUUAUUUUUUCUCGUUAUUAAAAUUAUAAUUUCGAAAGAGAAAG